AGUGAACGCUGGCGGUAGGCCUAACACAUGCAAGUCGAACGGCAGCACAGUAAGAGCUUGCUCUUACGGGUGGCGAGUGGCGGACGGGUGAGGAAUACAUCGGAAUCUACUUUUUCGUGGGGGAUAACGUAGGGAAACUUACGCUAAUACCGCAUACGACCUACGGGUGAAAGCAGGGGAUCUUCGGACCUUGCGCGAUUGAAUGAGCCGAUGUCGGAUUAGCUAGUUGGCGGGGUAAAGGCCCACCAAGGCGACGAUCCGUAGCUGGUCUGAGAGGAUGAUCAGCCACACUGGAACUGAGACACGGUCCAGACUCCUACGGGAGGCAGCAGUGGGGAAUAUUGGACAAUGGGCGCAAGCCUGAUCCAGCCAUACCGCGUGGGUGAAGAAGGCCUUCGGGCUGUAAAGCCCUUUUGUUGGGAAAGAAAAGCAGCAGGUUAAUACCCCGCUGUUCUGACGGUACCAAAAGAAUAAGCACCGGCUAACUUCGUG
This 492-nucleotide ribosomal RNA is filed under the name uncultured bacterium. RNAcentral describes it as "partial 16S ribosomal RNA". It matches the Rfam family "Bacterial small subunit ribosomal RNA", at positions 29 to 507 of the family's 1533-position model. The record is from RNAcentral.